AACGUGAGCCUCUUCUCUGUUUUUCUCUGAAGGGUGCUUUGCCUUUGAGGUUUUAGCCUUUCAUCUCUGCCGUCAACUACGGCUACCCCUAACCCCUCUGGGCAGGGGUAGCUUUCCCCAUGUCUAGAGUGUGGGUUUUCCCCUCCCUAUCUCCAGGCAGAGUUGUGAAUAACUUUUAGUUUCUUUUGCAUUAGAUCCGGCUUAUUGGAGAGGGUAACUUGCUUCUAUCAAGAGGAGAACCACUUUACGUUUUUAACUUGUUUGGUGAAGCAGGCCAGCUGUAGGUGAAUCUGCAUGUUCUCAUUUAAAGAGUAUGAGUGGUCUUCCUGAGGGGCUAACAAACCUUUGUCCAGAUAUGGCUAUGAAAUGAUGAGAGGGAGUAAAAGUCAAAUGGGUGGUAUCUCUUGGGGUUGUGCUAAUAGUCCAUAUGGCCGCCUGGAAGGCGCGAGUGAGUCGCCAAAGAGCUCUGCCACCUCUUCUCUCUGCCGAUUAAUGUUAUGGUUUGUGGCCCCACCAACAUAAGGGUUUGGGUGCUUUCUUUUUGGGUGCCUGAUAUAGCCUUCUUCUCCUCCUAGGGUUGAUAUAGUAGAUGACUCUUUUAUCUGACCUGUGGCUUGUAUGUUCCUCUUGUACUUCUUUAUGUGUUGGACUCCUCAUAGGCUAUUAUUGGAGAUGCCAAUAAAAUUUGUGGCCUGUUAUAGUGCUGAUGGCGGCAUUCUUGCUGCUUUGGCAGUCUCUUCCAACCUAGUUUAGGAUUUUCUUAUUCCUUGGCUUGGGCUUAGCAUUCAUCUUCUAGUGGCUAGGUUUGGUUGUAUUUGAAUUAGGAUCUUUUUUAAUCCUUGAGCUUGGUUUGCUCUAUCUGCUUGUAAUGGGCUCUUUGCCUUCUAUUUAAUUCUCAGCAAUAUAGUUGACCUUUGAAGAAAAAAAAAUAUAUUGACUGCAAUGAGGGGAGAGAGAGAACUAUAGGUAAUGGUUACCUAAUCAUGAAUCAAAUAUGAAAAGUGGAAACUAGGAGUUCAUGCAACAAAACUACUGGCCAAAUAAAAAAGAGUCUGAUAUCCAUUCACAUGUGAAUCAUUCAGAGGAGGUAGUCUUUAUAGUCUGAGCCUAUAAAUACUAGCUCUACUUCUCACAUCUCCUCACCCAAAACCAUUCUACAAAUCAACAAUUUCUCCUUCUUGUCAUUCAAAAUCCUAUGCUAAAAUGGUGUUUUUGCUUAUGAAGAGGAAAUGACUAGCACUGUACCUGCUCAUAGGCUGUUUAAGGCUAUAGCCCUUGAAUCUGACAUCAUUAUCCCUAAAGCUGCACCACAUGCCAUCAAGAGCUCUGAGAUUAUUGAAGGAGAUGGUGGUCCAGGAAGUAUCAAGAAGAUUACAUUCGUUGAAGAGGUUUUCGAUUCUCAAAGACUUGGCUGGCUCUUUAAAUGUUCCACCGCAUAUGAACCUCCGGUGACUUCAAGCGUCUUUAAUGUGCCGGCCAAACCUAAGCUUGAAAGGCUCUUCAAUGAAUCAAGAUAGCGAUCGCCAACUAUUUCGGCUAUUAAAGAAAGGAAGUUAUGCCAUGUUUUCAGCAAUAAAAGAAUUACGAGUUCGUCCAAGCUAAUUAGAAGAUACCUGCAACUGAAACCACACACUAACAUGCCACGACAAGUUCGAGCAAGAUUGGCCAAUCCAUAUUCUAUAUAAAUUGAUCUCUUUUUCUACGAGACUGAAUUUUGGCACCGACUAUUUAUGAUCAUCUUAUUAAUUAAAGUGGAGCAAUAGCAUAGGGCAAACCAAGACAUGGUCCAGUUCGGAUCAGAAUUGAUGUCUGGAUUGACAAAAGAAUUUUGGUGUAUUUAUACAUGAGUCACAGGACAUAUAAUUUUGUUGGUGCAGGAAGAGACUUUUGAUGUUGAAUUAAUAUAGCCGUCCUAGUAGGAGAAAAAUAACAAUGCUGUUAGUUUUUAUUAUGCCAUUAUUAGUUACCUAUGUAGUUGAAGCAAUAAGAUUAUUAGGAAUCACUACCAUUAUCCUCAACUUAUAUAUAUAUAUAUAUA
This 2038-nucleotide unclassified non-coding RNA is filed under the name Hevea brasiliensis (rubber tree). The record is from RNAcentral. Lineage: Eukaryota; Viridiplantae; Streptophyta; Magnoliopsida; Malpighiales; Euphorbiaceae.